RNAcentral lists this ribosomal RNA (442 nucleotides) under uncultured bacterium. RNAcentral describes it as "bacterial SSU rRNA". It matches the Rfam family "Bacterial small subunit ribosomal RNA", at positions 335 to 776 of the family's 1533-position model. The record is from RNAcentral.
ACUCCUACGGGAGGCAGCAGUAGGAAUUUCCGCAAUGGACGAAAGUCUGACGGAGCAAUGCCGCGUGAGUGAUGAAGGUUUUCGAAUCGUAAAGCUCUGUUGUAAGGGAAGAAUAGCAAGAAUAGGAAAUGUUCUUGUCUGACGGUAUCCUUACCAGAAAGCCACGGCUAACCUACGUGCCAGCAGCCGCGGUAAUACGUAGGUGGCAAGCGUUAUCCGGAAUUAUUGGCGGUAAAGCGCAUGUAGGCGGCUUUUAAGUCUGAUGUGAAAGCCAGUUGGCUCAACCACUGAAUUGCAUUGGAUACUGGAAAGCUAGAAUCUUGGAGAGGUAAGUGGAAUUUCAUGUGUAGCGGUGGAANGCGUAGAUAUAUGAAGGAACCCAAUGGNAAGGCNCUUACUGACAGUAUUGACGCUGAGAUGCGAAAGUGUGGUAGCAAACAGG